This 69-nucleotide transfer RNA is filed under the name Lonchophylla concava. Its description in RNAcentral is "tRNA-His". It matches the Rfam family "tRNA". Rfam says of the family: Transfer RNA (tRNA) molecules are approximately 80 nucleotides in length. Their secondary structure includes four short double-helical elements and three loops (D, anti-codon, and T loops). Further hydrogen bonds mediate the characteristic L-shaped molecular structure. tRNAs have two regions of fundamental functional importance: the anti-codon, which is responsible for specific mRNA codon recognition, and the 3' end, to which the tRNAs corresponding amino acid is attached (by aminoacyl-tRNA synthetases). tRNAs cope with the degeneracy of the genetic code in two manners: having more than one tRNA (with a specific anti-codon) for a particular amino acid; and 'wobble' base-pairing, i.e. permitting non-standard base-pairing at the 3rd anti-codon position. The record is from RNAcentral. Lineage: Eukaryota; Metazoa; Chordata; Mammalia; Chiroptera; Phyllostomidae.
GUAGAUAUAGUUUAAUAAAAACAUUAGAUUGUGAAUCUAACAAUAGAAGCCUAAAUCUUCCUGUCUACC